Molecule: ribosomal RNA, 434 nt
Filed under: uncultured bacterium
Lineage: Bacteria
Description: partial 16S ribosomal RNA
Rfam family: Bacterial small subunit ribosomal RNA
Source: RNAcentral
AGCGAACGCUGGCGGCAGGCCUAACACAUGCAAGUCGAACGAACCUUUCGGGGUUAGUGGCGGACGUGUGAUUAACACGUGGUAACGUGCCUUUAGGUUCGGAAUAACUCAGGGAAACUUGUGCUAAUACCGAAUGUGCCCUUCGGGGGAAAGAUUAAUCGCCUUUAGAGCGGCCCGCGUCUGAUUAGCUAGUUGGUUGAGGUAAUGGCUCACCAAGGCGACGAUCAGUAGCUGGUCUGAGAGGAUGAUCAGCCACAUUGGGACUGAGACACGGCCCCAACUCCUACGGGAGGCAGCAGUGGGGAAUCUUGCGGAAUGGGCGAAAGCCUGACGCAGCCAUGCCGCGUGAAUGAUGAAGGUCUUAGGAUUGUAAAAUUCUUUCACCGGGGACGAUAAUGACGGUACCCGGAGAAGAAGCCCCGGCUAACUUCGUG